Molecule: unclassified non-coding RNA, 277 nt
Organism: Cavia aperea (Brazilian guinea pig)
Lineage: Eukaryota; Metazoa; Chordata; Mammalia; Rodentia; Caviidae
Rfam family: Metazoan signal recognition particle RNA
About the family: The signal recognition particle (SRP) is a universally conserved ribonucleoprotein. It is involved in the co-translational targeting of proteins to membranes.
Source: Ensembl
UUUUGAAAUUCUGUAUCAUUUCAAUACUUUUUUGCUGUUUUGCUUUGGGAAAAAAAAAGAUUGACUAUGAGGGUCCUCUUCUGCCGGAGGUGUUAGUUUAACAGAAAGACUAAGUUCGGCAUCAAUAUGGUGACCUCCCGGGAGCGGGGGACCACCAGGUUGCCUAAGGAGGGGUGAACCGGCCCAGGUCGGAAACGGAGCAGGUCAAAACUCCCGUGCUGAUCAGUAGUGGGAUCGCGCCUGUGAAUAGCCGCUGCACUCCAGCCUGGGCAAUCUA